This is a long non-coding RNA of Orcinus orca (killer whale), 3980 nucleotides long. RefSeq lists it as uncharacterized. NCBI's taxonomy places the organism in Eukaryota, Metazoa, Chordata, Mammalia, Artiodactyla, Delphinidae. The record is from RefSeq and is a predicted model, not a curated record. The transcript is spliced from 10 exons.
CCAUGAAGUGCCCGCCGAACGCCACUGGGCCCUGGUCGGUCCUAAAAGAGAACAGAGGGAAGGAGCGCGCUGAGACGCGCGGCGGACAGGCGGACAGGGGCCCGAGGAGGCUUGUUGAGAAAGUCACCAGUCACAGGUGUGUACAUGUGACACCGGCACCUUGAACUCUCUGGAGCACUGGAAACUCCUGCAGAUACACCAGAAAUACAUCUACACGUGGAACAACUCCUACAGGACACCUACUGAACACUGGGAGAAGACCUCAGACCUCCCAAAAGGCAAGAACCCCCCACACACACACGUAUCUGGGUAGGGCAAAAGAAAAAAGAAUAAACAGAGACGAAAGAAUAGGGACGGGACCCGCACCAGUGGGAGGGAGCUGUGAAGGAGGAAAGUUUUCCACACACUAGGAAGCCCCUUCGCGGGCGGAGACUGCGCGUGGCGGAAAGGGGAAGCGUCGGGGCCGCGUAGGAGAGCACAGCCACAGGGGUGCAGAGGGCAAAGCGGGGAGAUUCCCGCACAGAGGAUCGGUGCCGACCUGCACUCACCAGCCCGAGAGGCUUGUCUGCUCACCCGCCGGGGCGGGCGGGGCUGGGAGCUGAGGCUUGGGCUUCGGUCGGAGCGCAGGGAGAGGACUGGGGUUGGCGGCGUGAACACAGCCUGCAGGGAGUUAGUGCGCCACGGCUAGCCGGGAGGAAGUCAGGGGGAAAAAGUCUGGACCUGCCGAAGAGGCAAGAGACUUUUUCUUACCUCUUUGUUUCCUGGUGUGCGAGGGGAGGGGAUGAAGAGCGCUGCUUAAAGGAGCUCCAGAGAAGGGCGCGAGCCGAAGCUAAAAGCGCGAACCCCACAAACAGGCAUGAGACGCUAAGGCUCCUGCUGCCACCACCAAGAAGCCUGUGUGCGAGCACAGGUCACUAUCCACACCGACCCUCCCAGGAGCCUGUGCAGCCCGCCACUGCCAGGGUCCCGGGAUCCAGGGACAACUUCCCACUGAGAACGCACAGCACGCCUCAGGCUGCUGCAACGUCAUGUCGGCCUCUGCCGCCGCAGGCUCGCCCUGCAUCCGUGCCCCUCCCUCCCCCCAGCCUGAGUGAGCCAGAGCCCCCGAAUCAGCGGCUCCUUUAACCCCGUCCUGUCUGAGCGAAGAACGGACACCCUCAGGCGACCUACACGCAGAGGCGGGGCCAAAUCCAAAGCUGAACUCCGGGAGCUGUGCAAACAAAGAAGAGAAAGGGAAAUCUCUCCCAGCAGCCUCAGGAGCAGCGGAUUAAAUCUCCACAAUCAACUUGGCAUACCUUGCAUCUGUGGAAUACAUGAAUAGACAGCGAAUCAUCCCAAAUUGAGGAGGUGGACUUUGGGAGCAACGAUAUUUUCUUUUUUUUCCCCCCCUUUUUCUCCUUUUGUGAGUGUGCAUGUGUCUAUGUGUGAUUUUUCUCUGUAUAGCUUUUCUUUCACCAUUUGUCAGGGUUCUGUCUGUCCGUUUUUUAAAUUUUUCUUUUUUUUACUAUAGUUUUUAGUGCUUGUUAUCAUUGGUAGAUUUGUUUUUUGGUUCGGUUGCUCUCUUCUUUCUUUCUUUUUUUUUAAAUUAGUUUAAAAAUUUGUUUAAAAUUAUUUUAAUAACUAUUUAUUUAUUUAUUUAUUUUUCUUUCUUUCUUUCUUUCUCCCUUAUAUCCUGAGCCAUGUGGAUGACAGGAUCUUGGUGCUCUGGCCAGGCAUCAGGCCUGUGCCUCUGAGGUGGGAGAGCCACGUUCAGGACAUUGGUCCACCAGAGACCUCCCAGAUCCAGGAAUAUCCUUCCUAUGUUGCUGUGUUGGGCACGUCUUCAAAACGCUGCUCAAGAAUCACCUCAUUCAAGAACCUGUCCAUUGAUAAGCUUGAUACUUACUUAACAUUGAUAAACUUGGUUACUCGUGUUCAAGUUCAUUUAGAUUCGAAUGAAACAGCCACACUGCUGCCUUUGAAGCCCAGAUUAACUCAGUUUGCUGUGAGGCCAUGAUGAAGUUUAUCUGAUAUCAAGGAUUUGGCAAUGGAGGCAGUAAAAGGAGCGAAGCCUGCCGCCACGUCCUGUUCGCUGUCUGCUGCACACGGUGGGGUGUCAUUCCAGGACCUUGCUUCAGACAGAGAACAUGUCACCUCAUCUUAGAACAGGCUUUAGUCCGUAUCCUCAGGAGGAGUAAGGAUACUGGUGCAUGCAAAGAUGACCAAGGAGCUGAACCGUGAAGCCUAAGAGAGACUGUGGCCCUUGUGUCACCUCGUUCUCAGCAACAGCUGCUGCAUCUUGUUUCCUCAGGCUUCGGCUCAGAGGAGAUAAUGACACUCGGGGAAGAGGAUUCCCAGCUUUGCAGAGACAAGGGCAGCAAUGCUGGAGAACCUCAGGCUCCCUCUAUGCCUGGAAUAGCCGUGGGGGCCGGAAAUGAUUCCCAGGGAUCCUGGACUCUCAGAAGACACCUGUCAGUGUGUCCCAGAAAAUAUACAGCCACAGAGACAAAAGGAUGAAAAUUUUAAAGACGGAGAUAUUGACAAAGUGAGACAAGGGUGGAAACGAAAGUAUUGCAGAUUUCCAAAGAAGACUUAAAACUGGGAAAUACCUGUCAGCCACCUAUGUUAAAUACGUGUGGACCAUAAAGACUUAUCAGGAAAGGGGUUCUAUCCGCCAAGUUGAGAUGCAUACCAGAAUGUCCUCAAAGUUUCUCAAAUAAACUGGGCAAAAGUUUCAAGGAGACAUGCAAAAGGAAAAUUUGAAUACAAUAAAUGUAAAUACCAAGUGUAAAGGAACAUUUCCCAAUAGUUAAAUGAGUCCGAAAGUGGGAACGGGCUGCCCUAAACCCAGAAGUUGGUCCUCUCGUGGGACUCUAGACAGCUCUCUGAUGGAGACAAGGGAGAACGUGCUCAGGUUCCCUCACCAGCAACACUGUCCAGUAUCCUUGCCUCUGACAAUCUCAGUGUCAGAAAAUGUCACUGGAUAAUAUUGCAGAUGCUCAAGGCGGGAGACUUGAUGCCUAAGCCUCUCCGUCACCCCUUCCUGAUCCCCAAGUUGAAGGCAUGCAUCCGUCUCAUUGCCUGUUAGCUCUGUCAGUCUUCAGCUGUCAUGGAGGAAAGUCAGCUCCACCUAGAGCCUUGGUCUCUCAGGUGACAGUUUCUUUUUGGCCUUCACUUGUUACAUGGAUUAGUAAGAUGUCUGCAAAGGACAAAGCGUGCUAAACCAGCAGCACUAUGUGUAAAGAAAUCUUAGGAAGCUACACAGAAAGUAUGUACAACCUUAAAAUUGGCACAUGGUCCUCCAUGAGCUCACCUCAAUGUCCGAUUCAGCUGCAGAUCACGGACUUAAUACGAAUUCCAGCUGUUCUGCAAGCAAGCCCUGACAAUCAUCUAAGACUUAGACUGCUGGAAAAAUUUAUAAUCUUCUAUCUUCAUAAAUUUCUGAAUCAUACACAGUACCCAUUUUUCUGUUAUUUUAGGGGUUAUACUUAGUUAAGCAGACAUGGUUACUCAACGUAAUAGAUCAGAAUCUUUUCUGAGGUUUUGAAUGAAUUGGGAAACACUCAAGGAAGAAAUUUCAGAAGACUUAAAUCAUUUAAAGAAGCAUACAGAGCAAUGCCAUAAAAGGUCAUCGAACAGAGAGCAACUAGACCACCGGGGACUAAUUCUCUGAGGGUGGAAACCGUAAUGACUCAUUCAGACCAAAAGGGGUUCCAGAGUCUGAUGUCCACAAUACCCACUCAGAGCUCGAAUGCAACCCGGUCCUUGGGGAAGCCAAGGGAGGAAGAAAGAAAAGCUCUGAGACUGAGGGAGUGAGGGAAACUGAGGACUGAACUACUCAUAAACUGACCACCAAACCCAGACACAUCAAAACCUGUGAUCAGACGGCAUCAGAAAACUGCCAUUUGUGAACUGCAUCCUUUUCCAUGGUUUUAACAUUUUCAUUUUCCUUAGUUCUAUGUAGAAAUGUCAUGAUAAUAAAUAUCAUGUGGUAUCACUUA